GAAACGACUGCUAAGACUGGAUAGGAAAUAAAAAGGCAUCUUUUUAUUUUUAAAAAACCUUUUUCGGAAGGUAUGCUUAAAGAGGGGCUUGCGUCACAUUAGUUAGUUGGCAGGGUAAAGGCCUACCAAGACUAUGAUGUGUAGCUGGACUGAGAGGUUGAACAGCCACAUUGGGACUGAGACACGGCCCAAACUCCUACGGGAGGCAGCAGUAGGGAAUUUUCGGCAAUGGAGGAAACUCUGACCGAGCAACGCCGCGUGAACGAUGAAGUAUUUCGGUAUGUAAAGUUCUUUUAUUGAAGAAGAAAAAAUAGUGGAAAAACUAUCUUGACGAUAUUCAAUGAAUAAGCCCCGGCAAACUAUGUGCCAGCAGCCGCGGUAAUACAUAGGGGGCGAGCGUUAUCCGGAAUUAUUGGGCGUAAAGGGUGCGUAGGCGGUUUAAUAAGUCUAUAGUUUAAUUUCAGUGCUUAACACUGUCCUGCUAUAGAAACUAUUAGACUAGAGUGAGAUAGAGGCAAGUGGAAUUCCAUGUGUAGCGGUAAAAUGCGUAAAUAUAUGGAGGAACACCAGAGGCGUAGGCGGCUUGCUGGGUCUUUACUGACGCUGAGGCACGAAAGCGUGGGGAGCAAACAGGAUUAGAUACCCUGGUAGUCCACGCCGUAAACGAUGAGUACUAAGUGUCGGGAUUACUCGGUACUGAAGUUAACACAUUAAGUACUCCGCCUGAGUAGUACGUACGCAAGUAUGAAACUUAAAGGAAUUGACGGGACUCCGCACAAGCGGUGGAUCAUGUUGUUUAAUUCGAAGAUACACGAAAAACCUUACCAGGUCUUGACAUACUCUGCAAAGCUAUAGCAAUAUAGUGGAGGUUAUCAGGGAUACAGGUGGUGCAUGGUUGUCGUCAGCUCGUGUCGUGAGAUGUUAGGUUAAGUCCUAAAACGAGCGCAACCCUUGUCAUUAGUUGCCAGCAUGUCAUGAUGGGCACUUUAAUGAGACUGCCAAUGAAAAAUUGGAGGAAGGUGAGGAUCACGUCAAAUCAUCAUGCCCCUUAUGAUCUGGGCUACAAACGUGAUACAAUGGCUGUUACAAAGAGUAGCUGAAACGCAAGUUUAUAGCCAAUCUCAUAAAAGCAGUCUCAGUUCGGAUUGAAGUCUGCAACUCGACUUCAUGAAGUUGGAAUCGCUAGUAAUCGCGAAUCAGCAUGUCGCGGUGAAUACGUUCUCGGGGUUUGUACACACCGCCCGUCA
This 1247-nucleotide ribosomal RNA is filed under the name Candidatus Phytoplasma oryzae. Its description in RNAcentral is "bacterial SSU rRNA". It matches the Rfam family "Bacterial small subunit ribosomal RNA", at positions 153 to 1399 of the family's 1533-position model. The record is from RNAcentral. Lineage: Bacteria; Bacillati; Mycoplasmatota; Mollicutes; Acholeplasmatales; Acholeplasmataceae.